Molecule: small RNA, 2518 nt
Filed under: Pongo abelii (Sumatran orangutan)
Lineage: Eukaryota; Metazoa; Chordata; Mammalia; Primates; Hominidae
Description: retained intron
Source: RNAcentral
AGCUCCCACCUCUGAUGCUGACUUUACUAGAAACAUGCAGCAGCAACAGGUGUGACAUUCUCACUCUGCCAUUUAAAGCCUGUGCUGCUUUCCAGGACAGGUAAAGGCAGGAGGGCAGUCUGAGAUCAUGAAGAGUAACACAAAAUCCCACCUCAAGGAUGCUAAGUUUGUACCACCCUCUCUCGGACACAGCUGAGAGCUCCCCUGGGCUAUGGCUGCUGGUCAUGUUCAUCUGCACACCCCAGGUUUCCUACAGCGGGUAGGUACAGGCCCAGUCCUAGCCAUUAGCCCUGGUUCUUAUUUGGGACAAACCCCAAGCUGUUUACUCUUCUUUCCAGACACCUCCUGGGGUUAGUUCACCCCUGCAGAACAAACAUUCAAAGGAGGCAAGUUUCACUAAGAUAAUUAACCCUAGUCAUCGCAGGGUGACUCCAAAGAGAAUUUGGGCUGGUGCAUUCCGAUGCACCUUGACCGUCCCAUACCAGAAUUGUGCCAGGUGCACCUGGAAUUUUCCAAGACAAAUGUGAAUCUUAAGGGGAGUAUUUUGUCCUCUUGUGAGGAAAAGUACUUUAAAAUGUGCAAAACUGAGGAAUCAGAGCUUAAGGAAGACUCAGACCCCAUUUUGGCCAAACUUGAAAGGCUGAUCUUGUUGCUAACUUUGAUUGCGACUUGCUAUCCCACAUGAGCCUCAACCAAGAGUUCUCAUAGGUGUUGGUGAUCUUGUUUGGGAACUUGGUUUUCACAGCAGGAAUUGAUUACUUAGCAGGUGCCCUAAUUGAAGAAAACACAUUGCUCCCAAUCUCCAUUGGCUUUUAUAAAAUAUCUGGUCCUGAGCAGUUAGACAUCCUCCUUUCCAAGCUUUUUAUAGAAUACAGAUUAAUCUUUAAGCUCUGCUUCUGAUGUUGCCCUUCUUUACUGAAAACAAUUCUGAAUCAUUAGUGUAAUUAAGACAAUACCGUCUGAGGCCAUUUUUAUUUUGUAUUUGCAUAUGACACCAAAGCUGCAAAACAGGAACUAAGCAUGGUAAUAAUGCUGGUCCAAAGGUGGCCAAGUAUGAACACUUCCUUCUAGGCCUGCUGCCAGGAGGAGAGCUGGCUUAUUGAUGGGAGCAUUGUAUGCUGCUGAAACCUCCUUACUUGGGGGUUCUCCCCAGAGACAGAGAAGAAAACCUAAGGCAGGCAUUAGUCUUGGAAACCAGUACCAGCUGGUAUCUCAUGCCAAUGAAAAGCAUCCAGGACAAGCAUGUUUGCAAAAAACAAGCAUGUCCUGUCUCUUUCACAUCUUUGGCACAUCCAUGAUCACCCUGAGUCAGACCCAAAUAAGGGGCAGCAGAGACAGCCAGGUGAAGCAGCAAUGUGAGGGUAGUAACUGGUGAUGACAAAGCCCUUCUCAAUUUCACUUUACUAACUUAGCCAAGGCUUAGUUCCUGUUUUGCAGCCUGAUGGAAAUCUGAUAGAUCAUUUGAAGUAUGUAAUCACCUGACAUGCUAAGUGUCUGUGUGUGCCAGAGACACAGAAUGGCAACCUGACCCCACCCUGUCCUUGUCUAGGAAACACGCUGGAGAAGAAAGGUGGCAAGGAGUUUGUGGAAGCUGUCCUGGAACUCCGGAAAAAGAACGGGCCCUUGGAAGUAGCUGGAGCUGCUGUCAGCGCAGGCCACGGCCUGCCUGCCAAGUUUGUGAUCCACUGUAAUAGUCCAGUCUGGGGUGCAGACAAGUGUGAAGAACUUCUGGAAAAGACAGUGAAAAACUGCUUGGCCCUGGCUGAUGAUAAGAAGCUGAAAUCCAUUGCAUUUCCAUCCAUCGGCAGUGGCAGGAACGGUUUUCCAAAGCAGACAGCAGCUCAGCUGAUUCUGAAGGCCAUCUCCAGUUACUUCGUGUCCACAAUGUCCUCUUCCAUCAAAACGGUGUACUUCGUGCUUUUUGACAGCGAGAGUAUAGGCAUCUAUGUGCAGGAAAUGGCCAAGCUGGACGCCAACUAGGCUGAGCAACGACAGAACCAACUGCACCAUGUACCCCACCUCCAGUUUAAAAGAAAAAAAAAAUCCCCUUCACUCCUACUGGGAGGUGGGACCCCUUUCAUUUUCAGUUUUGCUCAUCUAGGGAAAAUAAGGCUUUGGUUUCCAGUUUAAUUGUUUUUGACCUUCUAAAAUGUUUUUAUGUUAGCACUGAUAGUUGGCAUUACUGUUGUUAAGCACUGUGUUCCAGACCGUGUCUGACUUAGUGUAAUCUAGGAGAUUUUAUAGUUUUAUUUUAAUGAAACCCUGAUUGACGCACAGCAGUGGAGAGAACAGCGUCUUUUACCUGUCACUGAAGCCAGGAAGCCCCGUUUGUAACCGUGUGUUGUGGUGCUUUAUCGUACACCCAGUGGCGUUCUUUUUACUCUAAUGUUCUUUUUGUUUCCACCCUCAGAAGAAUCAUGAAUUUGCAACAGACCUAAUUUUUGGUUACUUUUUGUCUUAUUGAUGGAUUUGAAAAUGAAAGAUUUAAUAAGGCAAAGCAGAAUCUGUUGUCCUUAAU